CGGGUUGCGGACAGUGUCUGGUGGGUAGUUUGACUGGGGCGGUCUCCUCCUAAAGAGUAACGGAGGAGCACGAAGGUUGGCUAAUCCUGGUCGGACAUCAGGAGGUUAGUGCAAUGGCAUAAGCCAGCUUGACUGCGAGCGUGACGGCGCGAGCAGGUGCGAAAGCAGGUCAUAGUGAUCCGGUGGUUCUGAAUGGAAGGGCCAUCGCUCAACGGAUAAAAGGUACUCCGGGGAUAACAGGCUGAUACCGCCCAAGAGUUCAUAUCGACGGCGGUGUUUGGCACCUCGAUGUCGGCUCAUCACAUCCUGGGGCUGAAGUAGGUCCCAAGGGUAUGGCUGUUCGCCAUUUAAAGUGGUACGCGAGCUGGGUUUAGAACGUCGUGAGACAGUUCGGUCCCUAUCUGCCGUGGGCGCUGGAGAACUGAGGGGGGCUGCUCCUAGUACGAGAGGACCGGAGUGGACGCAUCACUGGUGUUCGGGUUGUCAUGCCAAUGGCACUGCCCGGUAGCUAAAUGCGGAAGAGAUAAGUGCUGAAAGCAUCUAAGCACGAAACUUGCCCCGAGAUGAGUUCUCCCUGAGACUUUAGGUCUCCUGAAGGAACGUUGAAGACGACGACGUUGAUAGGCCGGGUGUGUAAGCGCAGCGAUGCGUUGAGCUAACCGGUACUAAUGAACCGUGAGGCUUAACCUUACA
RNAcentral lists this ribosomal RNA (693 nucleotides) under Salmonella enterica. RNAcentral's name for it is "partial 23S ribosomal RNA". It matches the Rfam family "Bacterial large subunit ribosomal RNA", at positions 2241 to 2925 of the family's 2925-position model. Lineage: Bacteria; Pseudomonadati; Pseudomonadota; Gammaproteobacteria; Enterobacterales; Enterobacteriaceae. The record is from RNAcentral.